CCUACGGGAGGCUGCAGUAGGGAAUCUUCCGCAAUGGACGAAAGUCUGACGGAGCAACGCCGCGUGAGUGAUGAAGGUUUUCGGAUCGUAAAGCUCUGUUGUUAGGGAAGAACAAGUGCCGUUCAAAUAGGGCGGCACCUUGACGGUACCUAACCAGAAAGCCACGGCUAACUACGUGCCAGCAGCCGCGGUAAUACGUAGGUGGCAAGCGUUGUCCGGAAUUAUUGGGCGUAAAGGGCUCGCAGGCGGUGUCUUAAGUCUGAUGGGAAAGCCCCCGGCUCAACCGGGGAGGGUCAUUGGAAACUGGGGAACUUGCGUGCAGAAGAGGAGAGUGGAAUUCCACGUGUAGCGGUGAAAUGCGUAGAGAUGUGGAGGAACACCAGUGGCGAAGGCGACUCUCUGGUCUGUAACUGACGCUGAGGAGCGAAAGCGUGGGGAGCGAACAGGAUUAGAUACCCGUGUAGUC
RNAcentral lists this ribosomal RNA (466 nucleotides) under uncultured Bacillus sp. RNAcentral describes it as "bacterial SSU rRNA". It matches the Rfam family "Bacterial small subunit ribosomal RNA", at positions 338 to 795 of the family's 1533-position model. The record is from RNAcentral. Lineage: Bacteria; Bacillati; Bacillota; Bacilli; Caryophanales; Bacillaceae.